Molecule: ribosomal RNA, 173 nt
Filed under: Vibrio alginolyticus
Lineage: Bacteria; Pseudomonadati; Pseudomonadota; Gammaproteobacteria; Vibrionales; Vibrionaceae
Description: partial 23S ribosomal RNA
Rfam family: Bacterial large subunit ribosomal RNA
Source: RNAcentral
GGUUAAGUGACUAAGCGUACACGGUGGAUGCCUUGGCAGUCAGAGGCGAUGAAAGACGUAGUAACUUGCGAUAAGCCCAGAUUAGGUAGUAACAACCAUUUGAGUCUGGGAUUUCUGAAUGGGGAAACCCACGUGCAUAAGCACGUAUCCUUACCUGAAUACAUAGGGUAAGG